UACGUAGGUCGCAAGCGUUGUCCGGAUUUACUGGGCGUAAAGCGUGCGCAGGCGGUUCGUUGUGUCGGCGGUGAAAGCCCCGGGCUCAACCUGGGAAUGGCCGUUGAAACUGGCGAACUGGAGUGUGGCAGAGGGGGGUGGAAUUCCGCGUGUAGCAGUGAAAUGCGUAGAGAUGCGGAGGAACACCGAUGGCGAAGGCAGCCCCCUGGGCUGACACUGACGCUCAGGCACGAAAGCGUGGGGAGCAAACAGG
Molecule: ribosomal RNA, 253 nt
Filed under: uncultured bacterium
Lineage: Bacteria
Description: partial 16S ribosomal RNA
Rfam family: Bacterial small subunit ribosomal RNA
Source: RNAcentral